UACGUAGGGUGCGAGCGUUAAUCGGAAUUACUGGGCGUAAAGCGCACGUAGGCGGACAUUUAAGUCAGGGGUGAAAUCCCAGAGCUCAACUCUGGAACUGCCUUUGAUACUGGGUGUCUUGAGUAUGGAAGAGGUAAGUGGAAUUCCGAGUGUAGAGGUGAAAUUCGUAGAUAUUCGGAGGAACACCAGUGGCGAAGGCGGCUUACUGGUCCAUUACUGACGCUGAGACGCGAAAGCGUGGGGAGCGAACCGG
This 253-nucleotide ribosomal RNA is filed under the name uncultured bacterium. RNAcentral's name for it is "partial 16S ribosomal RNA". It matches the Rfam family "Bacterial small subunit ribosomal RNA", at positions 524 to 776 of the family's 1533-position model. The record is from RNAcentral.